RNAcentral lists this ribosomal RNA (429 nucleotides) under Chloroflexota bacterium. Its description in RNAcentral is "Chloroflexi bacterium partial 16S ribosomal RNA". It matches the Rfam family "Bacterial small subunit ribosomal RNA", at positions 355 to 776 of the family's 1533-position model. Lineage: Bacteria; Bacillati; Chloroflexota. The record is from RNAcentral.
UGGGGAAUAUUGCACAAUGGGCGCAAGCCUGAUGCAGCCAUGCCGCGUGUAUGAAGAAGGCCUUCGGGUUGUAAAGUACUUUCAGUCGGGAGGAAGGUGGUAAGGUUAAUAACCUUGGCAAUUGACGUUACCCGCAGAAGAAGCACCGGCUAACUCCGUGCCAGCAGCCGCGGUAAUACGGAGGGUGCAAGCGUUAAUCGGAAUUACUGGGCGUAAAGCGCACGCAGGCGGUUUGUUAAGUCAGAUGUGAAAUCCCCGGGCUCAACCUGGGAACUGCAUCUGAUACUGGCAAGCUUGAGUCUCGUAGAGGGGGGUAGAAUUCCAGGUGUAGCGGUGAAAUGCGUAGAGAUCUGGAGGAAUACCGGUGGCGAAGGCGGCCCCCUGGACGAAGACUGACGCUCAGGUGCGAAAGCGUGGGGAGCAAACAGG